ACACAGUAACACUGAGGAAUUGGCGCACCAAGGGUUUUUCUUCCUGGUGUCAUCCUGUUGUCCUUUUUCUAAGGGAAAGAACAAAUUUCCCGCAUCUUUGGAGCAGUUUUGUCUCAGGCCAAUUCCAAUUCCAACUUCUGUUGGAAUUGAAGUGUUUGCUGUCCCACUCCUGCUGGUACUUUCUGUCCUCUUCCUGAAGAAGGUCACUUUGCCAAUUUACAGGGGACAGGCUGUCUAAAAACCAUGCUGAAGGAUUUCCACAGCCCCAGCAGGACAGAUCCUGUUCCUGGGGUUUCAGCUUGACACGGUGAAGGGUCUUGCUUGGAUCACAAGGUUGUAAGUACAGGAUUACAGAAUGAAUUACAGAAUUACAGAGCUGUGUCUCUGCUUGUCACAAUGACAAAGCCAUUUAGGCUGGAAGGGAUCUUCGGAGCUCCCUGGUCUAACCUUGGUUUCCAGCAGGAUACACUUCCCAGUCAGAUCAGUUGGCCUGAGGAUUUUAUUAGCUGAGUGCUGAAAAUCCUCGAGGACAGGGAUUCCACAGACAUUCCAGGCACCUGUCCCAGUGCUGCACCAGCCUCACAUUGAGAAAAGCUGUUGCUUAUUCCUCCCCAAAUUCCCCUUGGUGCAGUUUGUGUCCAUUGCCUCCUGUCCUUUCAGUCUGGUUUUGUCUUCCCCAUAACCUUUGUCUAGACAGCUGAAGGCAGGAAUUUGAUUCCUUGCAAUAAUCUUUCUAAUUUGGUGCAACUGGGACAGGAAAGGAGGGUGACUGCAGCCAAAGGAUCACUCAUUUCAAGUUGGCCACAUAUUCAUGGAUAUUUCCCUGCUGACCCAACUCACCCCAUGGAACAGAUUUCAUCAGCACAUCCCUGUCCCCCAGGUUAAUUCCUCUAAGCAGCACAUCCCAGAGAGCAGAAUUUUCCUGACUUUUUUAUUUUAACUGCUCUAAAUUAGAUAAUUACUUAGAGCCCUGACAGAUUUACAAGAAUAAUUGCCUGAUUUUAUGAUGCAACACUACCGAAAACAAAGAUUUCUUGAUUUAAAUCAAGUCUUGAAAAGGAAAGUCUCGCUGGAAGUGUCUGAAUAAUGUCUGAAAAAUACAGUUCAGCUGGACUACAGUUCCCUGAAGUUCAGCUGGGCACUGGGAGAGAAUCAGUUUAGAUUCUGGCCCAGCCAGCUCUGGGGAAGCAGCACAGGGAACUGGAGAUGCUUGGAACAUAAAACCCCACAGUACACAGAGAAGUGUAGGACAAGUGGGAGGACACAAGUAAGGAGAUCCACAAUAAUGAUUUAAAAACCUUGAUGAGCCCUUUAUCAGCAAUCUGAGUUGAAUUUCCAACCAACUUCUUGGGGUUUUUUCUAUUUUUCUUUCCACUUCUAGUCAUUCAAAACAGCUACUUGUUCCAGCAGUAUCGACCCUGCAUUGAAUUUUAUCCACUCUGUCCUCUUUCAUUUUGACUGGCAGCAUUUUUGAACUCUAAACAGUAGGAUACUCUAGAAUAAGUGCACUUAUUGGAAAACAAAAUAGUAAAAUACAAAAUUAUAGGAAAUUUGUCUCUUGCCAUUGUUACAUUCUGCUCAAGCAUUUUUCUUACUCUCCUCACAACUGUAAAAUGUCAAAAUGACUGUUGUAAAUCAAACAGCAGGGUUUUGGCUUCUCUGUCCCUUCCUGAUGUGCAAGUGAGGGGUCCCAGUUACUCCCUACGUGGCAUUUUGUUCCCCUUGCAAUAAAAUCAGCCCAGCUAAAUUUCUUACUGUUUUUAGUACUGCUUUGAAUGCAUCAAAAGGGAUCCUGGAGCCAGGUGGGUUUUACAGAGUCAUAAUUUUUUUGUGUUCAAUCACUUCCAAAUCCCUUUUCCAUGGGUGUGCUGGGAGAACUAAUAAUGGGCUUUUCUGCAUGUCCAUGAGAUCUGUACCAAAACCAAAUCAAGGCUUUUAUUCCAAGAGACCCUGAAGGCAAGAUCUAAGAACUGUGCAGGUGCUGCAUUCUCCCUGCAAAGUGAGCCCAGUGGGUUGAGGAGAUCUCAAAUUCCUCAGGUGACUUUGGGAGCUGGGUGGGUUUCUUCCUGCAACAGCAAACAUCUGGCUUGGAACAAGGUGCUGAAUUUCUGGGUGGCUGAGCUAGGUUUGCCUUGCCAGUGCAGAGGAAGGUGGGAUCUG
This is a long non-coding RNA of Passer domesticus (house sparrow), 2160 nucleotides long. RefSeq lists it as uncharacterized. NCBI's taxonomy places the organism in Eukaryota, Metazoa, Chordata, Aves, Passeriformes, Passeridae. The transcript is spliced from 3 exons. The record is from RefSeq and is a predicted model, not a curated record.